Molecule: small RNA, 86 nt
Filed under: Salmonella enterica
Lineage: Bacteria; Pseudomonadati; Pseudomonadota; Gammaproteobacteria; Enterobacterales; Enterobacteriaceae
Description: partial RtT sRNA
Rfam family: RtT RNA
About the family: This family represents a bacterial cis-regulatory element known as RtT RNA.
Source: RNAcentral
UUCGACUCGAGCGGAAGCGAGAGAACGUUGCCAACGGCAACGGCCCGAAGGGCGCGACGCGCCGAGUCAUCCUUCCCCCACCACAA